Molecule: long non-coding RNA, 1663 nt
Organism: Heterocephalus glaber (naked mole-rat)
Lineage: Eukaryota; Metazoa; Chordata; Mammalia; Rodentia; Bathyergidae
Source: Ensembl
CUUAUGGCAGAGUAGUGCUCUGCAGUGUGUAAAGACCACAUUUUCUUAUCUACUGUUCUGUUGAUGGAUGUAGGCAUUUCUCCUUUCAAAGACAGACGCUGUAUCUAUCAGUUAUAAAGGCAUUCUGAAAUUAAAGCAUGCCAUUUAGAGUGUCCGUACUUAGACCAUUAAGUUACCUUUGUACUGUACUGGAAGAACAACUGCAAUGCCACUUCUGCCAUAGACGUGUGCCUCUCACUGCUACUCCUAGGCAAGGACAAUCGGUCUAGAGGAUGAAGGGCCGCAGUUCCCCCUGUUGAGAUACAAAUGGUGAAGGGGAUCUGCUCCAGUUGAGCCCAGCCUGGUCACGUGUGCGUGGGUGCGUGUAGGUGGGACAGCCGGCAGCGCCCCUGGGAGUCAGCGCUGUGGCUGGGCAGGGCUCUCCGAUGCGGGAGGGCCCGCUGCUGUCCAGUGUCUGCCUUGGCCAAGGCUCUGCCCGCGACACCCACGUUGUCACCCGCUGGACACCCACUCCCGGUCUGAUUAAGCUCCGUACCCAGCCGUUUACCGGGCAGAGGCACAGGGCCUUUCUCCUGCGACACGCCGUCAGAGUCCACUUCCUCUUUCUCCCCCUGCUGUCCACCCUGUCGGGCCUGAAGCCGCCCAUCGGGAGGCGCCCGCGCCUGCCCAGCCUGGGUUUGGGCCAGGGUUCUAGUGCUUUCCAGAUUUCUUGCACUUUCUAGGUGCAAAUGCGUUUCUGGGUCUUCUUUAUGCUUUUUCUCCCCCUCUUCUCUUCUGCUUCCCUCCCUUCACUUUUUGGAGGCAGGAUUUCACUCUGGAGACCAGGCUGGGCUUGAGCUCUCGAUCUUCCACCCCUGCCUCCGGGUGCUGGGAUGAGGUUCGGGAAACCCAGGAGCGUUUGUGUCCGCAGCGGUGGGAAGGACGAUGAGCAUCGUCUUCCGAGCGCAGCUGCCCUUGAAGCUGCUGCUCUGCCGUCUGACCCUGGGGCGCCUCCCCGCGGGGCCUGCCCGUUGGGUCGCCCUCUGCCCGCGGCUGGGCCGGUCCGCGGCCCUCGCACCCCGCCGCGCACGGGUCCUUCCCCGGGCCGGGUCGCACAGCUCCUGCGACACACUUUCAAACCGGCCCCGCCGUCCGUUACGUCUCGAGACCUCUCGUAAUGAAAGUACUCGGUUCAGAACAGGAAUAAUAAUGUGAAGCAAAUGAAAACGAAGGCGUCUAGGCAAGGUUUGCGGUAGAAGGUGAUGAAAGAAUGGAAUGGCCCCCUUCUCACCCCGCUGGGUCUAGGAGUUUGGGCCCGGACCGAGAAGUGGCCUCGGAGUCGGGGAGGUCGCACUUCCCAUCGUUUCAGAAUGCCUGGGGGCUGGAUUAGGACCCAGGGUCUCACGGUGUUUCCCAAGCUGGCCUGUAGUCCAGUCGGGCCUCCAAGUCUCCGAGGCCCUCCUGCCUCAGCCUCUUGUGUCUGGGGUUACAGGCGUGCACCGUCCGGCCUGGCGCUUUCCAAUUUCAGUCCCCACCAUAGCGGAAACUACAGGGUUCCUUUUGGACAGCUGCAAGCGUUGGGAAGCUCAGAGCAGGAACAACGUACUGCUAUCUUGUGAAGAAGUGUUGCCAGGGCGACAGGCCUGGAAAUGGGCAAGUGACAGGAAAGGGUGAGUGUUUUUUC